This 578-nucleotide ribosomal RNA is filed under the name Pueraria montana var. lobata (kudzu vine). RNAcentral describes it as "partial 16S ribosomal RNA". Lineage: Eukaryota; Viridiplantae; Streptophyta; Magnoliopsida; Fabales; Fabaceae. The record is from RNAcentral.
AUUGGCGGUGUGUGCGUACUUCAUGAAAGGCGAGGAGCCCGUCGCACAGGAGAACAAAGACAGCGACAUUCCUUGGCCGCUGAGCAUGCGCUGGCCGCUGGCGGCGUGGCGUUGGAUAUUCGCGCCUGAGGUGGCGCACGACCAGGCGGCGGGUGCUGAGCCAGGAUCAAACUCUACGGGCGGUGUGUGCCGACGUCGCUGGCUGGUGCUGAGCCAUGAUCAAACUCUACGGGCGGUGUGUGCCUGAGCCAUGAUCAAACUCUACGGGCGGUGUGUGCACGGGCGGUUUGUGUACGGGCGGUGUGUGCCCCGCAGUCUGAGCCAGGAUCAAACUCUACAGGGCGGUGUGUGCGUGCAGAGGCAUAUCGGCCGUUUCCUGAGCCAUGAUCAAACUCUACGGGCGGUGUGUGCCGGGAGGUGUGUGCGUGUCUGAGCCAUGAUCAAACUCUACGGGCGGUGUGUGCCAGGUUAGCCGCGCCCUGAGCCAUGAUCAAACUCUAGAGAGUCUGAGCCAUGAUCAAACUCUACGGGCGGUGUGUGCCAGAAUCAAACUCUCUGAGCCAUGAUCAAACUCUAAU